RNAcentral lists this ribosomal RNA (253 nucleotides) under uncultured bacterium. Its description in RNAcentral is "partial 16S ribosomal RNA". It matches the Rfam family "Bacterial small subunit ribosomal RNA", at positions 524 to 776 of the family's 1533-position model. The record is from RNAcentral.
GACAGAGGGUGCAAACGUUGUUCGGAAUUACUGGGCGUAAAGCGUGUGUAGGCGGCCGCGUAAGUCGGAUGUGAAAGCCCUGGGCUCAACCCAGGAAGUGCACUCGAUACUGCGUGGCUCGAGUCCGAUAGAGGUGGGUGGAAUUCCUAGUGUAGAGGUGAAAUUCGUAGAUAUUAGGAAGAACACCGGUGGCGAAGGCGGCCCACUGGAUCGGUACUGACGCUGAGGUGCGAAAGCGUGGGGAGCAAACAGG